Long non-coding RNA from Mirounga angustirostris (Northern elephant seal), 17583 nucleotides. RefSeq lists it as uncharacterized. The transcript has 2 exons. The record is from RefSeq and is a predicted model, not a curated record. NCBI's taxonomy places the organism in Eukaryota, Metazoa, Chordata, Mammalia, Carnivora, Phocidae.
AUGAACUCCCGGACAUCCCCCACCCCAGCCCAGGGCGGGAGGGUUCUUCCAGCGGAGACCCCAAUAUCCCCGGUAACCCCUGGGUGGCCCUCCUUGCGGUCGCCCUUUUGCCUGUGGGGAAGCAGCAGUCUCCCCCUGCUUCCGUCGCCUUCUCCUCCCCUCCCUGGGCCCUGGGAUGGACCGCCUCGCGGGCGGGUGGUCUGGAGAGGAACACGGUUUGGGGGGCAGAUGGAGAAGGGGGCACUUCUUGGAGGCGUGUGAGCCCUAGAGAGAGCCCCGAGGCAGUGGCAACAGCUGGAAGUGUGGCUGUAGGGUGUGGAGGGAGCAGGCCGAGCCUGAGAAAACCCGGGAAGUGGGUUGGGGGAAGGGGGAAGGGGAAAGGUGGUAACUGGAUCCGGAGAGCCGCGCUGCUCAAAGGCCCACACUUUUAAGGGUAUUCUACAUUAUAGCCUGUUUGGCCUCCAGUGUCCUUUCCUUUGGGAAGGAGCGGUAAAAGGCCUUAGGUAUUGAUGAAGGAAGGACGUUCAGAGUUACUCCCUCCUUAGUUCGGUGUUGGGAGAGAAGAGGAGACAUAAUGGGAUACUAUUUUAUUUGAGUGGGAGAUAAGGGAAUUUUCACCUGAGGUAGGAAAUUAAUUCCAAAUUAGAUCAUUAUCUCAUUUUCACCGACCCCGGCCCCCAGUUUCUAGGCCUCUUUUCUGUUGACAUCUAAAGCUUUUUGAUUGCGUGAAGGCAAGUUGUUUGGUGUAUUAAAGGCAUUUAAAUGUUUUUCGUUAGGAAAAAAUAAUGGAGGGUAUGAGUAGCUUAUUUCAAAAUAUUGUUUACAAGUUACAGAUCAGAGUUUCUCCUAAGACAAUGCCUCUGUGACUGUUGUGUUGUGCCGUGAAACUUCAUUAUGAUGUCCCUCAUAGUUAACUUGAUUCUUACUUUUUAAAAACAGUCCUAUUAAAAACAUGGGACUUCACCAGAUCAAUGCAUUAUUAUACCUCCUUAUUGAGUAGGUUUGUCUCGAUGUAUCUUAUCUGAAUUAUUAAAAACAUUUUUUUGGUCUCAGGCUGCUCUUGAGUCUUGCAGAAUUUACUCUGAUGUUGGCCAUAUUUAUUUAUGUAAUAUAUUUAAAAUUCCCUAGUGAUUUGACUCAAAACUGUGCAAGUGUUGGUACAAUUUUUCAUACUCAAAUCAACAAGAAUGCCAAGUUGUUUUUCCUCCUUGGAUUUAACAAAGAGAGAUGAAAAAGUAAUACUGAAAUACUUAUUAUUUUCAAGAUGUCAUAUACCAUUAUUAAACGUAUCAUUACUAUUUGUGGUUUUCUCUUGUGUUGGAACUUUGAUAAUCUAAAUGAUUUGUGAAAUUCAUCAUUCUAAGUAUGUGAUGAGUAAUAGACAUAAAUGAUAGUACUUGAGCUUUAUUUGUGUCACUGAUUCUACAGUGAUCAUUUUUCCAAUUAGACAUGUUGAAUAUAAUUCUUUAAAAUUAACUUAAAAAUAACCAAUACUAGCAGAUUUUUUGAAUGUAGUAGUCUGUGAGAAAUGAUCUGUUUUACAGAGCAUGUGUAUGAACUCUGACCUCUGUAUUUGUUCAAGUGCCAAAACUCUGAAUGGAAGGAUGACUUUGUAUUUUUGCGGUACGGUGCAGAAAUAGGGUCAUAAAUGUCUGUACUGAUAUACAGUGAAACAAUAAUUCUCACUUUUUAUUUGCAAGAAAAUAUAUUCCAGGAUAGUUGACAUAUAUAUUCCUAAUGAAAGAUUCAGUUAAUACAGUUGCCAACAGCCUAAAACAUUUCUUCUGUAAUAAAGUUGUACAAGCCUGAGAAUAUAAGACUUCUUUCAAAUACUUUAUUUUCUAUUACUUAAAAAUGGUAAGUUACUGCUCUCGUAAUUCAUAUGGUCUCUUUGCUUUAUAUGAGGUGACAUUCAUCAUAUUUUUAGUACUUAAUGCUUAAAAGAAAUCUAGUAUCGCUCUAGUAUGCAUAUUGUUAAAACAGUACUGCUCUUCAUAUGUAAGGGAUGCUGAAGCCUUGCUUCAAGUAAGCAUUAUAGUAUUUCAGAGGAAGAGAAUAGGAAAUGCAACAAAUUAUUUUUUUUAAGAAGAGUACCUUUAUAAAUCUGGAAGGAAACUUCUUCCAGAAAAUAAGUUGCAAAGUACAUUUAGAAAAGGGUCAGAUAAUUUAAUCUUGGAUUAUAACCAAUAAAUAGCUUUAUUUUCACCAAUAUUUUAUUUCAUCGAUAAUUUAGUAGGCCCAGUUCUGUAAGUGGAUUAUGUUGAUUACUUUCAGCUCAUUGAAGGACUUGUAGUACAGUCCACGUGUUUCCUUUUUAAGUGUGGAAAUGUAGUAUUUUGAGUGUCUGGUCAAGUAACCAGGUAUUUCAUCAUUUCAUUUAUGUAACUCUCGACAUUUACCAAAGUUUGUUUCAUAUGCUCUUGCUUACUAAGAAUACUGGUUGAUUUAAGUUUUUUUUUUUUUUUUUUUGGCCUUUUAAGUUGUCUUAUAAAGAUAGCUGACAUUUGCUGAAUUCUGACCAUAAGAAGUUGUAAGUGGCCAUUCUUGGAGUGUGUUAAUUAAAAUAUACUCUCCAAGAUAAAUCAAAUGUGAAAAGCAAGGUGCAGAAUAGUGUGGAGGAGGCCACCAUUUGUGUUCAAAGAAGGGGAAAAUAUAUGUAUUUGUCUCAGUGAGAAAUUGGUAAAAUUGAUUACUUCUAAAUAAGGGAAUGGGUGUCUGGGGUAACAGGCAUCAAAGGAUCCCUUUUGAGUUUUGAGUCAUGCAAAUAUACUAUUUACUUAAAAUAAUAAAUAAAGGCAUCUAGGCCUUUUUUCCUUGAGACUGUUUGGAAAUCCAUCCUUUAUGUGUCAGACAUUAAUUUUAUAUAUGUGUGAAUUUUAAGUAAUAUUUCAAAUUACCAGGAAUGGAAAAUUGAUUAAAAUAUAUUUUAUAGUUAUUUUAUGAGUCGAAUUACUAAGUGAAGUGUUGAUUGUGAGGAUAUAAUAAAACUAUAAUCUGUAUUCACAGGUUGUAUUAUUAUUAUUGCUGUUAACAACUAACCACCAUUUGUAGAGUGGCUCUCAGUACCAUUUGUUUAUGCAUUAUUGCUAAUUUUCAAGAACAAUUCUUUGAAUUAGAUUUCCUAUUUCUUAGAUGAGGAAAUUGAGAUUCAAAGAAGUUAAAUUAUUUGUCUGCAAACAUAUAGCUUUGGGAUUUGGAUCUAGGUCUGCUUGUGUUUAUAUUGUACCACACUGUCAUUACUUUCCAAGGAUAGGCAUGCUUUAAUUAUUUAAAAAUAACUGAGACUGGUUUGUAUUACUGGUUACAGGAUUUAAACACAACCUAAUUAAAAAAAUAAAUAAACACAACCUAAUUUAAUAGUUUAAACGUUAAAAUAAGGGACGCCUGGGUGGCUCAGUCAUUAAGUGUCUGCCUUUGGCUCAGGUCAUGAUCCCAGGAUCUUGGGAUCAAGUCCCGCGUGGGGCUCCUUGCUUAGUGGGAAGCCUGCUUCUCCCUCUGCCUGCUGCUCCCCCCCUGCUUGUGGUCUUUCUCCCUCUCCCUCUCUCCCUCUGACAAAUAAAUAAAAUCUUAAAAAAGAAACACAUUAAAAUAAGUGUUAACCUGUAAAUUACUUAAAGAUUUAGUUGAUGUCAAUAUGCAAAAUACUUUUAAAAAAUAUUUAUUUGAGAGAGAGUGCAAGCUGCGGGAGGGGCAAAAGGAGAGUGUGAGAGAGAAUCUCAAGCAUGCUCCCCACUGAGCUCAGAGCCCUGCAUCAGGCUUCAUCUCAAAACCCUGAGGUCAUGACUUGAGCUGGAACUGUGAGUCAGACACCUAACAGACUGAGCCACCCAGGCACCCUUGUAAAAUACUUUAAAAUUUGAAGCUCAGUGAAGUAAAAUGCCCUUAAGUCAGUGCACUACCCGUGUUUGAUCGUUAUAUGUUAUUUGUAGUUUUUUCAUAUUGUAAUUGUACUUUGCUAACGUUUUUUAAGAUUUCAAUAGGGAAUAUUUUAAUUUAUGGCAUUACAAAUUGAUUUCAUGAAAACUAUAGUGUAAGUUUUCUUUUAAGUGUUUAAAUGGAUUUUGUAUUUAGUGUCAUUUUAAAUUUAAUAUAUUUGAUCUAGGUUGAUCUAUAGAACUAGUUGGCAAGUCUUUAGAAGUAAAUCUGUUGAUUUCUGUAGACCAUAGUUUCUCAUCCUUAGCAUUAUUGACAUUUUAGGUGGAUAAUGAAUUCUUUGCUGUCAGAGUGGCUCUUUGCAUUGUAGGAUGUUAAGUAGUAUCCCUGGCUUCUAUCACUAGUUGCCAGUAGCGCAGCUAACCCUCCUCCCUACCUCCCCUUGCUCCCUGCCAGUUGUAGCAACUAAAACGUCUCCAGACUUUGCCAAAUGUUGAGAACCACUGCUGUAGACAAAACUCUUUAGAAGAACAUUUCAGACUAUUAACUUUGUAAGAUGUGUAGUAUAUUUUAUCUAAAAGAUGCACAGUAAAGGUACAAAAAAGUUUAUAGCAUGGCUACUACUAGUUUUGAGUGAUGUUUUAAGAUUUUAUUUUUGUUUUCCCUUUGUAAAUGAUUUUUUUCUUUUAAACUCUUUCCUUUUUGAUUUAAAGAAAAAGGUGAAAUUCCCUCCUGGAAAUGAAUGUAACCGGAAUUUGAACAAUUUUUUUAAGAGUAGAAAAGCAGUUUUUACAGUUACAUAAGUUACAGCUCUAUGUAACUUAUUUAAAUAGUGUGCCUUACGGGGUUCUGGGUGUGGGCUGAGUGAGGAAAGCUUUUGAUGGGGUAAAAAAAAAAAAUUAGAGCCUGUCCAAGUAAUACCGUUUGGGGUGCAUUUCUUGUUUUAUUUAUUGUAAAGACUUUGAUCUCUGUCCAUCAGGCAUAGAUUUAGAUGCAUCUGGGAUUCCCUACAUGUCACCCCUUUGUGAAGAAUAUAUAUUCUUAUUUUCCAGUAAAUGUUAUCAACAGUUAUUGAGCAUAUUGGCCACAGCUCCAGAUUUACUUGGUUGGAGAUAAAAAUGUUAGGUGCAAGAGUAAAUAUUAUGGGAGUUUUGAGGGUAUAUGUAUGGAGGGAGGGUUUUGUUUUUGUUUUGUAGUUUUUAUUUUAAUUCCAGUUAGUUAAUAUAUAGGUUUAUAUUAGUUUCAGGUCUAUAAUAUUGGAGGGAGGUUUUUAAGCUAGGUUCCGAAGGAAAGUUAAGACCGACCUCAAAUUUCAGAAGACAGUGCCAAAGGAAUUACAGGAAUACUGGAAUUUAUAAGUAUAUGAUUUUUUUUUUUUUCUGUAGGCACCUGAAUUGGAACUAGGGUGCAGAGAUUAUUGACAAAAUUAGGCAAGAAACACAUUUACAUAUUUAGAAAGGUUGCGUGCACAGUUCUGAUAUACACACAUAGUUGUGGAACUAGCGCCUAAAUAUCUUCACUAUUAUCUUUAGCAAAAAACACCUUUUUUCAUGUCAAAGUAAAAGGUAACCGUAAAGUAUGACCAGUACCCAGAUCAGGUCUGAAACAAUAUUACCAGCACCACAGGAACGCCCAGCCAUCUCUUUCCAGGCACUUUCCUGACUUCUGAUAGUACAGAUUUGCUCUGAGUAUGUUUGAGUAAAAGAAUAGACGUGAGUGUAUACUAUAUGAUUGUUUUAAGUUUGAAGGUUUUCAGAAGAUGCCCUUCAAAAUCUUUGUUCAGGGGGCACCUGGGUGUCUCAGUCAGUUAAGCAUCCAACUCUUGAUCUUGGCUAGGGUUGUGAGUUUGUACCCUGCAUUGGGCUCUGUGCUGGGCGUGGAGCCUACUUAAAGAAAAAAAACAGGGGCACCUGGGUGGCUCAGUCGUUAAGUGUCUGCCUUCGGCUCAGGUCAUGAUCCCAGGGUCCUGGGAUCGAACCCCGCAUCGGGCUCCCUGCUCAGCGGGAAGCCUCCUUCUCCCUCUCCCACUCCCCCUGCUUGUGUUCUCUCUCUCACUGUGUCUCUCUCUGUCAAAUAAAUAAAUAAAAUCUUUAAAAAAAAACAAAACAAAACACAAAAUCUUUGUUCAAAAAAUGUAUUAGUAGUGUCUUAGAAAAUGUGUUAAAAUGCAGUGAGUUUUCGAGUUGAAAGAGACCUUAGAUCUAGGCCAGAUUCCCCAUCUGUAAGAACAGGAAACUGAGGCCUGAAGAAAUUGAUUGUUAUUCAGUGAUACAGAUCUGGUUAGUGAACCCAGGCUUUUUGCAUACCAGUCCAUUCUAACUAUUAUAUAUGAUUGCUUUAUGGGACUAUUUUUUUCAUAAAUAAUACUGUAAAUGCUGAAUGCUAAUAAAGUAUGAGUGCCGAUUUAAUAUUGACUAUUGUAUUUAAGUAUAUUUUGCCUUUUUUUCUGUCUUGGUGUGAGAACUUAAAUUUGGCAGGAGGCAGAAAUAUUUCACUCCUUAAGCAUGAUAGAGUAAAUUUAGCUUAGUGAUUAAGAGCGUGGGCUUUGGAAUUAGAUUUGCUUUGAGUCCUGGCUUUUCUAUUUAACACCUGCAGCAUUGACUCUGUAUCUUAGUUUUCCUAUCUGUAAGAAUGUAGGAAGAUUGAGCUUUUACAGGGCUCAGAGCAAUUCCUGGGACAUAUGAACAGAUAGCUGUUAAGAUGUCAAAAUUAGCCAUAUGUUCAUAUUCUGCUUAUUGUUGUUUUGGAUCAUAAAGGUUUCCUUCAGUGGUGUAGUGAAAGCUCUAUGUGAAUUUGCCUGCAGAAAAGAUUUAAAUGAAUGAGCUUUAGUACUUCUGAUAGAGUUUCUUUGUCACCUGUGUGCAAACAACCUGUGGCCAAGGGGAAUGCAAAAGAAAAAUGUGGGCCUUGUUCUCAAGAUGUUAGUUACCUUUCUUUAGGAGACAAUUAUAAAUUGGGGAAGAGUUUUUGUUAAAAUGUGACCUUUUUAAGUGAAAAAGAAGUACUUUAUUUGGAAGCCUUUCAGAUAAUACAGCUUUACAGGAUUAUUUGGGAUUUCUUGAUAAGGCUCUGGUGGCCUUGAACUGCACCAAGAAAUCUAGAUUCUAAUCCUAUGGUAUAUGUAAUCUUGAAUCCCUUGGUAAACUUCCUAUCUUACUUUAUUUUUUUUUAAAGGUUUUGUUUGAGGGGGUGCCUGGGUGGCUCAGUCGGUUAGGCAUCUGCCUUCCGCUCAGGUCAUGAUCCUGGGGUCCUGGGAUCAAGCCCUGAGUAGGGCUCCCUGCUCAGCAGGGAGCAUGCUUCUCCUUCUGCCCCUCCCCCUGCUCAUGCUCACUCUCUCUCUGUUAAAUAAAUAAAUAAAAUCUUUAAAAAAAGAGAGAGAUUUUGAGAAUGAGAGAGUGUGCACACUUGAGAGCACGAGUUGGGGGAGAGGCAAGGGAGAGGGAGAAACAGACUCCCCGCUGAGCAAGGAGCCCGAUGGGGCUGGAUGCCAGGACCCUGAGAUCACGACCUGAGUGGAAGGCAGAUGCUUAACUAACUGAGCCGCCCAGGCGCCCCUAAAAUUCCUAUUUUAAAAUUGGGUCUUGGAAAAUAGAAAGUGGCGGUCACAUCCAUCUGACAUCCGUGGUGUUCUUUUAUGUAAUUUUGCAAAGGAGAGAAUUUCAUUCCAUUCAAAACCUUUCUCCUUUUUCUCCCUUUAGUUCUUUGCUUUUAGCAAAUUUAAAAUAAUAAAUACUUAGUUUAAUGCCUACUAUCUGGCAUUUUAUAUGUAUGGCAGCCUUAUGAGAUUGAUGUUAUUUUACAGAUUAGAAAAUUGCAGCUCUGGAGAAAGUACGUAACUUUCUCAGUAUCAAGCAACUUGGUGGAACAGGGGUUGGAAACUAUGUCUCCGACUCCCAAAUAUUUACUGAUGAUAGUGGAAAGAAUAGUGUACAAUCAUGUCUGCUGCUUGCUACCUGUCCAUUAUUUUUAAAGAUGCUUUUUAAAAUUAUGGAAUAUUUUAUACUUAGAAGUUUAGAAAACAGUAGGUGUGAACAGCUUUAUGGUCAUGGUAUAGAUUUAACAGAUCUUAACUCUCUCAUACUUGGUUAACUUGCCCUUUCCCUCAGGAAAUAAAACAACAUACAGAUGAAGUUCACUUUGUAACCUUUUCCCUUUUCCAUUCUCUUUCUUAGAAGUAACCACUGUGCUGAAGAUGCCUGCUUCUAUCUCUACAUAUCAUAUGGAAACAACUACUUCGGCAUUACCAGUAUCUUCCCAUUUGUCAAAUUCAGAGUAACUUCUCAUCAGUUCAUUUUGUCCAUCUUUCACUUCAUUUCUCAGAGCUUGCCUCUUGUGGUUGCUCUGAUAACUGCUGGUCUUCCUUCAUACUGUUACUACCCUUUCUAAGUUGUUUUCAACCCUUUUUCUCCAUUUAUCUCCUAAAUCUUUGUUUCCUCUUUUGCAUUCCUUUCGUUAAUUACUCUAGGUCGGGUUUUCAUAUCCCAGAUGGACUAUUUAUAGUAAAACAGUUUGCUUAUUAUUAUUUUUUUAAACUUUAUCUUUUUUAUCCCUAGUUUUUUUUUUUUUUUAAAGACUUUAUUUGUCAGAGAGAGAGCACAAGCAGGGGGAGUGGCAGGCAGAGGGAGAAGCAGACUCCUCGCUGAGCAAGGAGCCUGAUAUAGGACUUGAUCCCCAUCCCAGUACCCUGAGAUCAUGACCCAAGCUGAAGGCAGAGGCUUAACUGACUGAGCCACCCAGGCGUCCCAAACAGUUUGCUUAUUUACAUUUAUUUCUCUGCAUCCUCUGUUCAACUCUCCUGGUGCCAUGCCACAGGACUGAUUCAUUGAUUGAUUUUUAAAGAUUUUAUUUAUUUGAGAGAGAGAGCAUGGGGAGGGGAAGAGGGAAAGAAAGAAGCAGACUCCCCACUCAUUAGGGAGCCUGACGUGGGGCUCCAUCCCAGGAUUCUGGGAUCAUGACAUGAGCUGAAGGCAGACGCUUAACUGACUAGGCCACCCAGGUGUCCCCAUGCCACAUGAUUUAAUUUUUAAAAUAUGAUCUUGUCAUUUUCCUUUAGUCUCUCUACUGCCUAUUGCAUAAAGGCAAAACUUUUAUACUUUUGUUCUAGCCUACCUUUCUUGACCUAUUUCCUGUCAAGUCUCAACACAGUUACAUGCCUACACAUACUUCACUCUUAGAUCUUCAGCUACACGAUAUUGCUCACCAUUUAGUUAUUCUGUCUGCCUUCAAUAAGCCCUUACCUCCUUCUUUGCCCUUGAAAUAUACUUCUCCUAAAAUGCCACUCCUGAUAAACCUUUUGUGAAAACACAGUUUAUCCCUAUUUUCCUGUAUCAUUUUGUCAGGACUUUGUUAGAGCAGUUAUAUAUGUAUUGGUAAUUGUACAUGUGUCUUUCUGCUGCUGCUAGAUAUCAUUGAGCUCCUUGAAGAUACUUACCUUUUUUCCUUCAUCUUGUAUAGUGCCUGGAAUUGGUAGGCUUAGUAACAUUUACAGUAAGCCAAAAAAUCUUUGAAGACAUCUACUUUUUUUUUUUGGAGUUGCUGCUGCACGUGCAUAAACCCUUUGCAUAGGUGUUAGGGCAGGCCUGUUACUCUUAAUUAUUUUCAGCCUUUUUGGGAUUACAUAUUUUUCUAGUGAUUACAAAUGCAGGGCUAGUAUAUGUAGACUUCUUUCUCAAGUGACUGUGCUUUACUUUUAGGUUUCCUUGUUUUGUUUUUGUGGAUUUUUUGGUUUGUUUUUGUUUAAUUUGAGAGAGAGAGAUUAAGCAAGGGGGAGAGAGAGAGAACAUGAGUGUGGAGGAGGAACAGAGGGAGAAGCAGACUCCCCACUGGGCAGGGAGCCCAAUGUAGGGCUCUAUCCCAGGACUCUAGGAUCAUGACCUGAGCCGAAGACAGACACUUAACUGACUGGCCACCCAGGUGCUCCAAGGUUUCUUUGUUUUACGUGAACUAUCCUAUUUGGGAUUGGCAUACUUAAAGUGUGGGUUGUCUGAUACUAUUGCUUUUUAGCAGUGAUAAUACAUUUUGCUUCAUUUUUCUUAAAUCCUUCUGUAGUAUUUCCUUUUUUAAAAAAAUAGAAUGUACUGAAGUUGAUGCAUCUAUGGAACAUUUGGAUAUUUCCGGGUGUUUUGUUUUUUUUUUUUGGUGCACGUGUGUAAGAAUUUUAGGUGUGUAUCUGAGAGUGGUAUUACUAGUCCAUUGGGUGUUUGGAUGAGAUAUUAGGUGUUUGGAUGAGAUAUUAGGUGGUUAGAUGUGUCAGACAUUGUAUCUGUAGGCUUGGUCAUACUUUGUUAUAUCCUUAGGUGUUUACUUAGGUGCUUUAUCUCUUAUCUGCUAGGAACUGUGAGUGUGAGUCAUUAAAGGCAGAGACUUAUAUUUUCAGUUCUCCAUUGCUUAGCUCAUUGCCAGGUAAGAAGGAGGCACUUGUUUUCCCAAAUGAGUUUAAGGAUUUUUUUUUAAGCGCCCGGGAGCUCAUACCCAACCAUUUGAAAGUAUGACCGCUUAUCCUGCUUCUGAGACUAGGGACUUUAUAGUAUGUUGAUAAAGGUGACCCAUUCUGUUCAGUGUGAGUGUUGAUAAUUUGGUCAGUUUGUGCUUUGGGGUGAUACAAUGUCAAAGCCAAAAACUGGGAAAUAAGAUGGUGGGAAGGCAGUCUUUUUUUUAUUUAUUCUGUAGUUUUCCCUGUUAAAGAUCUCAGGGGGCAUCUAUUUAGUAUUAUAUAUGACAUCAUCUGUAUCACUAUGGGUUAACUCUUUAGUUUAAGUCUACAUUUUUCUUCAUUUAUUCAACAAAUAUUUAUUGAAUGCCAUCUAUGUUGUUAAUAAGGUAGACAUAGUCCAGGGCACCUGGGUGACUCAGUCUGGGCGGCUCAGUCAGUUAAGCCUCUGCCUUCGGCUCGGGUCAUGAUCCCAAGGUCCUGGGAUUGAGCCCCACAUUGGGCCCCUUGCUCAGCAGGAAGUCUGCUUCUCCCUCUCCCCCUCCCCCUGUUCAUGCUUGUGCGCUCGCUCUCUCUCUGAAAUAAAUAAAUAAAUCUUAAAAAAGAUACACAUGGUCCAUGCUAUUAUGGAGUAAAUUAUGGUCUAGUAAGGCAGUGAAACAUUGAACAAUUAUAUGUGUGUUUGUUGAGUUUAAAUAAGGAGAACUGUUGGGGUGGGGUAACCUACCUGAGGGAAAGAGUUCCUUGGGAAUAAUCCUUAAACUGAUAGUUGGGAGGGUAAAUUGGAAUUAACUUAGUCAUACAGUAGGAUGAUCAAUUCUUAUAUGCAUACAGAAAGAACUAGUAAUCGUUAUACAGUCAAUGUAGAACCAUUUAAUUGCUUUUCCCUUUUAAAUAAUUGGCCAGUUUCUGUGAAUACAAAAGUAACAUGUUUGCUUAUUAUUGAAUUUUGGAAAAUACAUAGAACUAUAAUAAAGUAAAAAUUAUCUGUAAUCCCACCCCUGGAGAUAAUUCUUUUCUUUAAAAUAUUUUGUUUGUGUAUGAAAUAUUUCAAACAUGUAGAGAUACAUCUUCAUUUUGGUUAUUUCCUUCUAUUGUUUUUUUUCUUUCAUUUUUUUCUGUACAUAUAUACAUACAUUUAGAAGUUUUUAAAAGAGCUUUGAAUAUAAUUCCAAUCAGACUUUCAACCCAGAUUUGUAAUUUUUAAUGUUUUUCAAAGUGAUUCAAAGGUGUCUUUCACUACUAGACUCCCUACUUUUUUUUUUUUUUUUAAGAUUUUAUUCAUUUAUUUGAGAGAGCAUGCCCCCAUGCACAGGCAGGGGCAGAGGGAGAAGCAGACUCCCCACUGAGCAGGGAGCCCGAUGCUCCCUGAGAAGCUCAAGAGUAAGGAAGCAUCUUGGCUCAUCUUUGUAUCAUCAGUACCAACAGCUCUUUAUUUAACAACUAUUUGAGGGCUCCCUUUAUCCUAGGUACCAUGAUAUGUGCUGAGACUAUAGUAAUGAGUGGGGCAAGGUAAGACAGACAAAUAAGUGAUAAAAGCAAUGCAGAGAAAUACAAUAUUGUAUAGAUGAAAUUAAUUGGUUGUUUUUGACUGGGUGUUCAGAAAAGGCCUUUCCUAGGACUCGACUUAAAUUGAGAUCUGAAUGAUAAAGCUGUGUCUUUAGGGAAAGAAAAUAUUCCGUAUCAGAGGAAAUAGUGAAUGUAAAGGCCAUAAAUUAGGAAUAAAUUUGCUAUGUUUAAGCAAGCAAAAGGUUAUUGUGGCUGGAGUAUUGUGGGUAAGAGGCGGUGAAUGAUGCAAGAUGAAGUUGGAGAUGUGGGAGGCAGGAGCCAGAUCACAUAAAACUUCCUAAGUCCAAAGUAAAGAAUUUGUAUUUUAAGUGACUCUGAAAGCCAUUUGAGGAUUUAAAGAAAAGAACAAAAUUUUUGUUUUUAAAAGACCACUUCAGGGGCGCCUGGGUGGCUCAGUUGGUUGAGUGUCCAGCUCUUGAUUUCAGCUCAGGUCAUAAUCUCAGGGUUAUGGGAUCAGUCCCCGAAUCGGGCUUUGCGCUGGGCAUGGAACCCUCUUGGGAUUCUGUCUUUCCCUCUCCCCCACCCCACCCCUACCCCUACCACCCGCACAUUCUCUCUAGAUCUCUCUUAAAAAAAAAAAACAAAAACAAACUUUGAUGCCUUAAACUUAUGACUAAGGAAAUAAUGCGGGGUGAUGCCUGAUUCCUCACUGCUAAUCUGAGAUGUAUUUUUGAGCAGAUAAAGGUUGCCCCUAAGGUUACGCGUCUACUUUGUGGGAUCCUUGGGAGUCAAGACCUGCCCAUCCCCCCUUUAAAAAAAGACCACUUUGGCUGCUGUGUGGAGAAUGAAUUGAAACUGAAGAUGUAAAGAAAAAGGAUGGGGCGCCUGGGUGGCUCAGUCUGUUAAGUGUCUGCUUAGCUCAGGUCAUGAUCCCAGGACCCUGGGAUCUAGCCCUGCAUCCAGCUCCCUGCUCUGUGGGGGGCUUGCUUCUCCCUCUCCCCCUGCUUGUGUUCCCUCUCUUGCUGUUUCUCUGUCAAAUAAAUAAAUAAAAUCUUUAAGGAAAUAAAAAAAUAAAAAAUAAAUAAAAAGGUUUUAGGAGUUAGGGGUUGAGUUUGGCUGGAGUAAAGUCAAGUCUGGAGAGAAGUAUCCCAGAGUUGCUUGGUUAGGGAUUUUACGGUGUUAAUAGACUACUAACUUUCAAUUUACCAUUCUUAGGAGUUUGACCCUUGUCCUUAAACUCUCGAAAUGCCUGUCAGAGGUCCAGACAACAUGUCUUAAUUUCAGAAAGGGAAAGGCAUAACCCACAUGUCAGCUGAGUUCGUCCCCUUUCUGAAAAAUCCCAUUCAGUGACUUCUAUUUUUAUUUAUUUUUUUUUUAAAGAUUUUAUUUAUUUAUUCAUGAGAGACAGAGACAGAGAGAGGCAGAGGGAGAAGCAGGCUCCCAAGGAGCAGGGAGCCCGAUGAGGGACUCGAUCCCAGGACCCUGGGAUCAUGACCUGAGCCGAAGGCAGACGCUUAAUGACUGAGCCUCCCAGGCGCCCCUGUGGUGUCUUUGAAACCAUGAGAAAACAAGAGUUCCAAGAGUGGUCAACUUUGUCAUGCUGCUGAGUGAGAGAAAUGACCGCUGAAUUUGCAGCGCAUUAUCAUUGGUAACCUUGACUAGAAUAUUUUCAUUGGAAUGGUGAAGAUGGAUAUAUGGUUGGACAGAGUAAGAGGAAGUGAAGUGAGGAACUGGCAGCUAUGGUCAACUUUUUAAAGUUUUGCUUUGACAGAAGAGCAGAGAAGAAAGGGGGAGCUGCAGAAGAAUAUGGCCUCAGAAAUCUUAAAAAAAUUUUUUUAAGGUUCUAUUUAUUUAUUUUAGAGAGAGAGAGAGAGUGUGCGCACGCAAGUGCGGGCAGGAGAGGGACAGGCAGAUUCUGUGCUGAGCUCAGAGCCCGACUCAGGGCUUGAUCUCACAACUCUGAGAUCAUGACUUGAGCCAAAAUCAGGACUCAGACACUUAACCAACUGAGCCCCCCAGGUGCCCCUUAAAAAUUUUCUCAUAUUCUACUGAUUAUGUUUAUAUGUUGAUGGAUGGGAGAAAUUGAUUAUGCUAGAGAAUGGAGGAGUAAUUGAACCUGCAAAGUCCUUGAGAAGAAUGGGGGGUGGGGGUAUUACUAGAUAAAUGGAAGGAUUAAUCUUUAAUAGGAGCAGAGACACUUAGGGCAAUGUUAAGUUUUCAUUUGGGAUUUGUGGUAUUCACUUGAACAUGAGACCAAUUAAUGAUGGCUGUGUGUGUGUUUUUCCCCAGCAGUGCUGCUUGGGGCAGACACAGGAAGGUGGUUUGGUUUUGUUUGGUUUUGUUUAAGUUAAUUGGGGAAUGAGUUUAACUAGCAGUGGGGCUUUGCCGUAUGAGUACCAUGAAGGAACAAAAGCAUCAAGGUUAGCAAGGAGUGAUUGGUAAUGAUGGAUAGUGGUGAUAUUCGAUUAAGCCAGCUAAUAGCUGGGUUUGGAGUACUAGUGAGCUUGAUCUAAGGAGGUUGGGAAUCUGAGAAACUUGAAAUGGAUUUCAGAGAAAGUACAGUUUCUGGUGAUGACAAAAUUAUGUGUAUGACCAUGGGGAUAAGAGCUUACAGUCUUUAAAUAUUUAUUAGAAUUGCAGUCUUUGUCUCCUUACUCUCUUUUGAGAAUUUAGAAAUGUGCAAAGGUGACAGGUAUAAGCAACAGUCUCUCAUCAGCCACAGAUUGCUGUUGCUAGUAACAUCUUUUUUUUUUUUAAACCAAAUCAAGGUCUUAGUAUGUAGUAUACUGUUUUAUAUUUUUUUCUCAUAAUAUAUUUUAUAUUUCCUUCCUUCCUUCCUAAGUAGGCUCCAUGCCCAAUGGGGGCUUGAACUCACCACCAUGAGAUCAAGACCUGAGUUGAGAUCAAGAGUUGGACGUUUGGGGCGCCUGGGUGGCUCAGUCACUUAAGCGUCUGCCUUCGGCUAGGGUCAUGAUCCCAGCGUCCUGGGAUUGAGCCUCGCAUUGGGCUCUCUGCUCAGCGGGGAGCCUGCUUUCUCCCUCUCCCUCUGCCUGCCACUCUACUACUUGUGUGCGCUCUCUUUUUCUCUCAAAUAAGUAAAUAAAUAGAAUCUUAAAAAAGAGAGAGAGGGAGAAAUGUUUGACUGAACCACCCAGGCCCUGAUAUAUCUUAUGUUUUCUAUGUGGCAUUAAAUAUUCUUUAAAAAUGUUUACUGUUUAGGGGUGCCUGGCUGGCACAGUUGGUGGAGUGGGCGACUCUUGAUCUCGGGGUUAUGAGUUCAAGCCCCAUGUUGGGUGUAGAGAUUACUUAAAAUCUUUUUUUUUAAGAUUUUACUUUAUUUAUUUGACAGACUACAAGCAGGGGGAAUAGCAGAGGGAGAGGGAGAAGCAGGCUUUCCACUGAGCAGGGAGCCCGAUGCGGGACUCGAUCCUAGGACCCUGGGAUUGUGACCCGAGCCGAAGGCAGCCGCUUAACCAUCUGAGCCCCUCAGGCGCCCCCCCACCUUUUUUGGGAAGAUUUUAUUUAUUUGACAGCGAGAGAGGGAACACAAGCAGGGGGAGUGGGAGAGGGAGAAGCAGGCUUCCCGUGGAGCAGGGAGCCUGAUGUGGGGCUCGAUCCCAAGACCCUGGGAUCAUGACCUGAGCCGAAGACAGGUGCUUUAUGACUGAGCUACUAAGAUUACUUAAAAUCUUUUUUAAAAGUUUGUUUAAAUAUUAAAUAGCAUUAAAUGUUAACAGUAUUUAAUUUAUAUAUCUAAUAUUUAGUAUUACCUGACUAAACCAUUCUUUUUUUUUUUUUUUUUUUUAAGUUUUAUUUAUUUAAGUAAUCUCUACACCCAACAUGGGGCUUGAACUCAAUGAUCCCGAGAUCAGGAUUCUCAUGUUCUUCCGACUGAGCCAGCCAAGCCACCCUAAACCGUUCUUUAGUUGAACAUUUAAAAGUUGUUUCUGGGGGCACCUGGGUGGGCUCAGUCGUUAAGCGUCUGCCUUCAGCUCAGGUCAUGAUCCCAGGGUCCUGGGAUUGAGCCCCACAUCGGGCUCCCUGCUCCGCGAAAAGCCUGCUUCUCCCACUCCCCCUGCCUGUGUUCCCUCUCUCGCUGUGUCUCUGUCAAAUAAAAAAAAAUUAAAAAGUUGUUUCUGUUUUUUCCACUGUGUGUGUGUGUGUGUGUGUGUGUAUUGAAUAGAAUAUCUUUAUAUAAUUUUUAUAUGAAUUUAUUUCCCUAAGAUAGAUAUCUUGGAAAAAAGUUACUGGUCUUUGUGUCUGAACUUUUCAUAUGCUGAUGACCAAAGUGCUUCUCAGAAAGUUUGUUGUAAAUUACUCUAGCACUGGCAUUGUAUGAGGCAGCCAAUUUCAUCAUAUUCUCUCCAUUAAUACAAUCUUUUUUUAAAGUCAAAUAGAAAAAUCAAUUGUCCAGUUUUAUUUUUUAAUUUUUUUUAACUUUUUAUUAAGAAAAAAAAUUUUUUUUUUAGGAUUUCAAAUCCUAUCUAUUUGAGAGAGAGAGGACGAGCUGCGUGGGGGGGCGGGAAUGCCACAGGGAGAGGGAGAAGCAGACUCCCUGCUGAGCAGGGAGCCCAGUGCGGGGCUUGAUUCCAGGACCCUGGGAUCAUGACCUGAGCUGAAAGCAGACGCUUAACUGACUGAGCCACCUAGGUGCCCCUUAAUUAAGAAAAUUUUCAAAUGGAAAGUUGAAGUAUACUUACAUUCCCACUAUCUAGAUUCAACAAUUGUUAGUGUUACUGAUAGGAAGGUAAUUCACUACUAAAAUCUUGAGCUUGCAUCUCCUAAAAAUAACAUUCUUUUACAUAACCAUAAUAUCAUUGUCCUGCCAAAGAAAAUGUUAAUUCCUUGGUAUCUAAUAUUCAUACUUCCUCAGGUUUUAUAGCCUUUUUUGGGAAGGAGGAGCAGGAUCUACUUAGGGUUUACAAAUUGCAUAUGAAUGUAAUUUUUAGUGUUUUAAAAUUUACAGUGGUUCUCUCACACACACCCUUUUGUUUUUUGACACUGAAAAUCCUGGAGAUUUCUUUUUAAAUAUUUUAUUUAUUUAUUUGACAGAGAGAGACACAGCGAGGGAAAGAGCACAAGCAGGGAGAGUGGGAGAGGGAGAAGCAGGUUUCCCGCUGAGCAGGGAGCCCGAUGCAGGGCUGGAUUUCAGGAUCCUGGGAUCCUGACCCGAGCCGAAGGCAGACGCCUAACGACUGGGCCACCCAGGCGCCCCAUGGAGAUUUCUUUAUGGUGGUGCUUUUUAUAUUUCUUGUAAACUGGGAAUUUAUAUAUAAAGGUUUGACUAGAUUCAGGUUAAACAUUUUUGGCAAGAAGUCUCCUAGUGUAGUAUAAAUUUCAUAUUCAGUCAUUAGUAGAUGUGCAAUAAUAUCAGGUUGUCUCACUGUUAGCGAUGCUAGGUCAUUUGAUCCUUGCCUGCAUCAGUUAUUAUUACAUUGGGGGUUGCAGAAAGUUGAUUUCCUAAUUGCUAACUUUACAUUUGCUUAGCUAAUAUUCUCCUAGAAAGAAGAGAUUUCCAUUGUCAACUGGAAUGAAAAUUAUUAUCAGAGUAAAGAUUUGAUAUAGUAGUCACCUCCAAUGGCAAUAAUGAUUUUCCCCUUUCUCUUUUUUUAUUACCAGUGUGUGGAUGUCUUGGUCAACCUAAGCUACCAUAGCGAAAUACCAUAGUCUGGGUGGCAUAAACAACAGAAACUAACUUUCUCACAGUUCUAGAGGUUGGGGAUUUCAAGUCACAGCUUCAAAAGUAAUUUGAGACCUUUGUUGUUUGAAAU